UACGGAGGAGGCAAGCGUUGUUCGGAAUUACUGGGCGUAAAGCGCGUGUAGGCGGCUAUGCAAGUCAGAUGUGAAAGCCCCGGGCUUAACUCGGGAAUUGCAUCUGAAACUGCUGGGCUUGAGUUCUGGAGGGGGUAGUGGAAUUCCCAGUGUAGCGGUGAAAUGCGUAGAUAUUGGGAGGAACACCUGCGGCGAAGGCGGCUAGCUGGACAGAAACUGACGCUGGGGCGCGAAAGCUAGGGGAGCGAACGGG
This 253-nucleotide ribosomal RNA is filed under the name uncultured bacterium. RNAcentral describes it as "partial 16S ribosomal RNA". It matches the Rfam family "Bacterial small subunit ribosomal RNA", at positions 524 to 776 of the family's 1533-position model. The record is from RNAcentral.